Molecule: ribosomal RNA, 688 nt
Filed under: Salmonella enterica
Lineage: Bacteria; Pseudomonadati; Pseudomonadota; Gammaproteobacteria; Enterobacterales; Enterobacteriaceae
Description: bacterial SSU rRNA
Rfam family: Bacterial small subunit ribosomal RNA
Source: RNAcentral
UACGAGAUGUCUACUUGGAGGUUGUGCCCUUGAGGCGUGGCUUCCGGAGCUAACGCGUUAAGUAGACCGCCUGGGGAGUACGGCCGCAAGGUUAAAACUCAAAUGAAUUGACGGGGGCCCGCACAAGCGGUGGAGCAUGUGGUUUAAUUCGAUGCAACGCGAAGAACCUUACCUGGUCUUGACAUCCACAGAAGAAUCCAGAGAUGGAUUUGUGCCUUCGGGAACUGUGAGACAGGUGCUGCAUGGCUGUCGUCAGCUCGUGUUGUGAAAUGUUGGGUUAAGUCCCGCAACGAGCGCAACCCUUAUCCUUUGUUGCCAGCGGUUAGGCCGGGAACUCAAAGGAGACUGCCAGUGAUAAACUGGAGGAAGGUGGGGAUGACGUCAAGUCAUCAUGGCCCUUACGACCAGGGCUACACACGUGCUACAAUGGCGCAUACAAAGAGAAGCGACCUCGCGAGAGCAAGCGGACCUCAUAAAGUGCGUCGUAGUCCGGAUUGGAGUCUGCAACUCGACUCCAUGAAGUCGGAAUCGCUAGUAAUCGUGGAUCAGAAUGCCACGGUGAAUACGUUCCCGGGCCUUGUACACACCGCCCGUCACACCAUGGGAGUGGGUUGCAAAAGAAGUAGGUAGCUUAACCUUCGGGAGGGCGCUUACCACUUUGUGAUUCAUGACUGGGGUGAAGUCGACA